Marmota monax (woodchuck) is the source of this 5204-nucleotide long non-coding RNA. RefSeq lists it as uncharacterized. The transcript has 4 exons. The record is from RefSeq and is a predicted model, not a curated record. Lineage: Eukaryota; Metazoa; Chordata; Mammalia; Rodentia; Sciuridae.
CUUUUCCUUUUAAAAAUCUUUCCUGUGAAAAUACACAUGAACUUUUUUUGCAGGUGGUUGAUUUAGUUUCUCCUUACAUAUUGCAGAGACUAGGAGGAGCAUCAAUGACCCUGUGACUUCACUAUAGGGCACAAAUGAGUGCCCACCUUCCAUUCUACAGCCUUGGGUAAAUCCAUGGAAUAUUGGAGCUGUAAUCAUUCUAAGAGCCUCCAGGUGUGAGAGAACCAUUGUAGUUAUUGGAAAUGACCAAACUUCAGGGGCACUGGAUGUGUCCUCCGCCGCCAGCUGUAGCGUCCCCAGGCAGCCCCGGACGACCCCGGAGAGUGUCCCGGACUCAAACUGCCACCCGGCACAGGGAGCAAGAGCCUACAAGACUGUGCCUCGGGGUCAGCCAGUGCCUCGUGCGUCUUUCUUGGACAGGGAAUCGGCGGGUCUUUCAUUUGGCGAGCCAGCCAGGAGAACUCCUGUAACCCCAUCCGGAUCCCUGCCCGAGGAACACCCAAUAACCACUGGGAGGUAAGCUGGCCAGUUCGUGUCAUUUUGUGUCUCUCUCUGUCUGGUUGUUAUCUUGUUAUCUGUUCAUGCGCAGCGUCUGUACGAUUACGCGUAAUUGCUCUGUAUUCUGGGCAGCUUGAGAAGGAGUUGACGAACUCGGACUUCUCCCCUGCCACCCUGGGAGACGUCCCAGGGGCUCAGGGAGGCCCAUCUUGGGGGGCCUCCAAUGUUCUGUAGAGUACACUGUACUCGUGGGUGACGGAGGUGACGGUAUCCCUCCUCUCCCUAAUCCGUCAGGUACGUUCGGUUUGUGCUCGAGCCGCGCAGCGUUCUCUGUGUCCAGUCUGAUAUUUGUGUCUGUCUUCUUGCCUUUGCACUUUCUCACUCCAUCAAAGACUAACAUGGGGCAAUCCAUAACAACUCCUUUGAGUCUCACCCUUGACCAUUGGCAGGACGUCCGAAAUCGGGCAGACAACCAGUCAGUAAAAGUUAAGAAGAAAAAAAAAAAAAGCGGCUCAGGGGCACCCGGCCCUCUCCCUCCCUCGUGGGGGUAGAAGGGAACGGGUCCCCAAACCUCCCGAGUGUUAUCACAGGGCCAAGGAAGCGAACGGGUCUUCCUGGAGUCGGGCUGCUUGGAAAUGCAGCCCAAGGCAGAUGAUAAAUUCCAUCUAAGGCUGAAUACUGAGACUAGAGAAGCAAUGUUUUCUUUUCCCCCCCCAUAACCGGCUUGAGUGCAAAUAGAGAUGCCUGCUGGGGAUUUAAUAACUUUGACAUCUCGCUUUGACUUUUCUCAAAGCCCUGUCCUCAUUAUUAAAUUGGUGUUAAUUGGUUUUAGAGAUGGGAACCAAAUUUUCAGUCACAAAUUUUGACACUCUCAAGGGGACUUUUAAGGAGUCCCCACUCUGCUUUCUUGGGGAAGCCUAGCACUCAAAACAACUGCAAGCAGAGGAUGGACUUUUUGGGAGCUGGCUACUAAAAAGUUAAAAAAAAAAAAUGCCUAAUGCCUAAGGUCAAACCAAACUGGAGGAACUGAUCCUAUGGGUGAAAGAUAGGAUUAAGGGACUCCCAGCAGCUGCCAGAGCCAUUUAGCUCUGGGGAGUUCCCUGGGUCCUUAUCUACAUCUCAGGGAUUACGCCACCUCUGUUUACUUAAAAAGAAGGGACACUGAAUGCAGUAAAGCCAGUCACACUGAGACCCUUGAUUUUACACCUAUAGUUGCCCCUACGUGAAAACAUCUGGUCCACUCAUGGGAAAGUCUAUGGUGCCACUGAUGGGAGUCAUAAUUAAAUGAAAGUUUAAAACCUGGAGAGAUAUUUUCUUAUCUGGUUGUCUGAUUGUUUCUUAGGGAUAAUCUAGGUUAAAUGUGUGUCUAAAAAAAAAAUAAUUUUUUAUUGUAACAAUCUGGUAUCUAAAUGGGUUUCUAAAGCAUUGCACUAUCUUGCAGUUAAAAGUUGGGUGUAAGCAAUUGUUUAGUUUGAUUUCAGAUAGUUCAUGCUAGAAAACUUAAAUACUUGGGAUAAAAAAAUUAAAGAGUUUCAAUUUUGAACUGGGUAGCCUGAAAAGAAAUUAAAACGUUGGUCUGGCUCAUAAAAAUGACAUUAGAUAAUUAAAUAGCAAUAGUCUUAGAAAUUUUCAAAGCUUAAUUUCAGAUAUAUAUGGUAGUGUGUGAGCAAAUUUAAUGUAACUCAAUGCUACUUUAGGAACUUUAGAACAAGCAAAGUGGCUUAGAGGUACUAAAGAAAUUUCUUCUGAUGGUAGAGGUCCUAUUUCCAGUUUUAUGUGAACAAGUUUUUCUAAUGUACAAAGAUAUGAAAUUUUAAAUUUUGGGAAUUACUUCUUAAAUUUGUAUCAUAAUUUUCAACAUCUAAACCUGGAAAUAUAACUUGAAGUAAAUUGUAUGGUAUUUACUAACUACUGGCCAGUCAUCUUUUUUUUUUAGGACUCUUGUUUUUUCUUAGAUUUUGUAUUUUUUUGAGCUCGUGAUUCUGAUCCUGCAGACCUAGGUUAAUGUUUUUCUGAUCAGUGAAGUUUAAAAAAAAAAAAAAAAAAAAACACAAAAACAUUGCAAUGGAGAUUUCAUCUGCGAAAAGCUACGAGGCCUUUAUUAUUGUUAUGUGUGCACACUCUUGUUAUGUGUUGUAUGUCGGUAUGUCUGUAUGUGUGUAUGUCCAUAUAUCCUGCAGUGAUAUAACAAUUGACAGAUGAGGAGCGCUCAUAAAAAAUAAAAAAAAUUAAAAAUAGAUCCAAAUAUCUUUAAUUCACGUGAUUCAAACGGUUCAAUUUAGAUUGGGUAAACAGAUAAAAGUAAAGAUGUCCUCAAAAUUAAGCUUAUAAGUUUCUCUAGGUGUUCAAAAAGGCCCUAAUAAAAUGUUAACUCUGCUUAAAUUUAAAAGUUUACAAGUAUUGUUUCAAAAUGUGAACAAAAGGAGGUUUAUGUAAUUAUGGUGUUAUUAAUGUGUUCAUAUCUUCCAGGUAUACAAGUCUGUAAGGUAGAAGCUUCAAAAGAACAUUAUAUCAAGCUGGUGUUCUAAAGUUGUAUGGUAAUUUUAGGCUUAAAAAAAAAAUAUGUUAGAGAUUCAAUUAUAUCAUUUGUGUUCUAUAACUGAACUUGUUAUCAAUAAGAUAUGUACUGUUCCAUGUUACUUUCUACUCUAAGAUACAAUUUAUGUAUUUUUAAGUUAAUAAGAACCUAAUCUGUGUGAAGGUUUUAUUGCAAAACACAAAAGUACAUUACUACUUUUCUACAAGAGGUUAAAAGCUUUCAGCCUUUAAUUCAUGUUUUAAGUGUGAUAUUAUGUUGUGUUAGCUAAAGUUCAUGUAAACUUGAACAACAAUUUAUGUAAACUUUGUAAAAUGAUCAGCUUCAGAACUAUAGUACUUGAGAUUUAUAAAGAGCCCUGCCUUACUUGAGAUAAGGCUCUGUCCCAUCUCACUACAUGUGAAAAUGGCUAUGAAAGAAGUAAGCCAGAUUUCAGUACAGUUAAAGUUGUGUCCAAAAGUAGGUUUUUGCCAAGAUUACUAGGAUCUCAAACAGGAAAUUAUGAUGUAUAACCCUGCCAGAAUUCAAGGUAGCUAUUAUAUAAGCUAAAUAUGUUUUUACCCUAGCUAGUUUUGUUUUGUAGUUUGCUUAUAGAUGGUUUAAGGAUUGCCUGUUAAUGUUUUAAAGAGAUAUUGCUUUAAGAACACAACCUGGGUCAACAUAAGAUAAGGAGUUAUCACCUACAGGAUAAAGAGAUAGACAUUAAAGCCCAGUGCUCUUAAUAUAAGGCUGUUAACUUAUUUGCUGGAUGUUUAAGAUCAAGUUUUUAAAAUUAGUUAAAUUAAAAGGGCCAAAAAACCCCAAUAUUUGGCUCUUGCCCUCUGAGUCAGUCUGAAUCAGGGAAUAGGGGACUUCUCCAAAGGGCUCAGCAACUCUAGGCCACAUAACCUCCUGAGCAGGGAGAUUAAUGAGACCAGUGGAGGACAGAAAGCCAAUCGGUACAUUUGCUGUAAAGAGGAGGGUCAUUAAAAAAGGGAGACAUCCCUGAUGCUUCUGAGGGAAGCCAUAUGGUCAAGCAAGGCCUGGACCCAUCCUAGCGCAAAUGACACUAGCAGAACUGAAAAGCUGCUAUGAAGUUCCCGAAGACUCCCAGGAUAACUCAGCUGACUGUAAACAAUAGGUAGAAACAAAAGUCAGUUUGACUUGCUUCAUCUUAAACACUUAGCAAAGACAGUCAAAGCCAAAGCACAGCUGUUCCUGGACAUCUUAAAUGAUAAUAAUAGUUAAAUGUAACUUCCAUAAAUAAGUAGACUGGAGGCUACAAAAGAGAUUCUUAGACAGAAAUGCCUGAUAACUGUCAAGGGGACUGCUAGAGUAGUUUUAGUCUAAGGCCUUUAUUUCUAGCCAACGCAGGUAGGCUUGAUGUUUGCUAAUAUGGUUAUCCAGCCCUAAGUAGCAGAAUUAAAGAUUUCUCUAUUAGACACAGAGGUCAUACUAGUAAAAGGAUUUUGCAGGAUCAGAUGGCAUUAAAUUAUUAAACUAUAUCUUAAAGGAAAAGACAUCUGUAACCCUACAUGUUAGUUGUUGUGUUGACAUCCCUGACAUUUCUGACAAUGUGACAAAUAUCCUUAAAGAUUUACCUGCUCAGAUGGAAGCCAUGUCCUCAGCAACUUUUUCGUGGAAACAAUAUCCUAGCUCCUAGUUCCUGGUACUGCCUGAUAGAAAACAUUGUUAAUCUUUGUCUUGGCCAUUAUACUCAUUGGCAUAUUUCUGUGCUGUGGCAUUUAUUACUGCAUCAAUAUGGUUCCAGUACUAAUAAGAUCUUGUUUCUCUUAUAGACCACCCAUCACUCAAAUGGCCCUCCAACCUAUUACUUCUCAAUUAGACUUUCAUCAUGGACCACUCGAUAGACCCGAUAUUUUUAAGGGGGACUCCAAACUGCUUGCCCCACGCCGUCCCUUUUCAGCCUGAAGAAGCCAGAAAGAUUCUCUUCGUCCCCCUUCCUCACAGCAGAACCUAUAGUGAAAAACAAGUUUACCCUUUAAGUGACCUAUAUGCUGGAUUCAAAAGAGCCAAUGAGAUACCUGUUACUGUGCUAGGAGGAAAACUGACCACUGUACCCUAUGAAAGAUCUGUACCCCAAAGCCCGGUGUGCCAGUUCACCGAAGCUCCGGCUGAGGUUUCGCUGAGCACCCGCAGGCGCCUGUGUAUCAAUAAAUCGCCUCUUGUU